UAUACCGCUUUUUACGAUUGUCAUCAAGAGAUAACAUCUAUUUCACGUUGCUCGACAACGUAGAGUGACGUAUUGAUACUUGCAAAUUAUCAAUCGUGUUAUUUUACGCGUAUCAACAUAUUUCCUUGACACGAGUGAAUUGUAGAUGGAUUUAUUCGAUUUCUUCGACUUCACCGGCCCGAUAACCUCUAAUUUUACUUGGUUAAUCGCUUUGCUAUAGUUUAGCCAAAUAUUCAAUUGAUAUUUGCUGACAGUAUUUUUAUCGUGUUACAUUCGUGCAACGGAUCAUACGAUUUAAGAGCAAAGGAUGUACGCAGAAGAUCACAGGACUUCAUCCUCGAUACAUUUGGCUGUAUCGAAUGUUUCGCUGUAUAAAUUUUCACCGAAAAGAGUGAGAAAGUAUUUCUUUAUUGAGAAUCAACAUUUAAAACUUCGCCGUUUGAUGAUGCCUGUCGAUUUGUAACCAAUUUCUAUAAAAUCCUUUAAGAAGAUACGAGGGGACCAUAAGGAUAAAAAGGAGUCUGUCCAUUUUUUAAAUCAUGUCGUACCUUUCCCAUGUGAUGACGCUAGCCAAUGGCGUCAUAGGAGUAAGCGUUCUCGCGAUGCCCUUUUGCUUUGAGCAAUGUGGUAUUAUAUUAGCCACUGUAGUACUUUUACUAAGCAGUGCAUUGUCUCGACUGGCCUGUCAUCUUCUAAUCAAAUCUGCCGUCAUGUCCAGACGACGUAACUUCGAGUUCCUUGCAUUUCAUGCAUUUGGCCGUACGGGUAAAAUUAUUGUAGAAUUAUUUAUUGUUGGAUUCCUGAUUGGAACGUGUGUUGCAUUCUUCGUUGUUGUCGGUGAUUUGGGACCCCAAAUUAUUGGGAAGAUAAUAGAUAGGCAACCAGAGGAUAUAAGAACAAGUUUCUUGAUCAUAACAGGAGUAUUUAUUGUUUUACCAUUGGGAUUACUCCGAAAUGUUGACAGCCUAUCCAGCAUUUGUACAGCAAGCAUAGGCUUCUACCUUUGUUUGGUUUUAAAGAUAGUAGCGGAAUCGACCCGUCACAUCUUCGCAGGAGAUUGGUAUGAUCGAGUGUAUUAUUGGAGACCUGCUGGUAUCCUCCGAUGUUUACCAAUAUUCUCCAUGGCACUUUUCUGUCAGACGCAACUCUUUGAAAUUUAUGAGACAGUUCCUAAUGCCUCUCUGGAAAAGAUGAAUGAGAUCGUUCGAGGGGCAUUGAACAUCUGUAACGGUGUAUACAUUUGUGUAGGAUUCUUCGGCUAUAUUGCAUUUUGCAAUCGAGCCUUUUCUGGUAAUAUCCUCACAAGUUUUGAACCGGGCACAGCAUCCGAAGUCAUUAAAUUAGGAUUUGUCUUCUCGGUCGUUUUUAGCUUUCCGCUAGUCAUAUUUCCAUGUAGAGCUAGCAUGAAUUCUCUUCUUUUUCGCAAGGUUCACGGUCACGACUCGUCUAGUAAUUACAUUCCAGAAACAAAGUUCAGGUGUCUAACGAUCGUCAUCGUGGUAGCCUCCUUAAUUGUUGGAGUAUUAAUUCCUAACAUUGAAUUUGUUUUGGGAUUAGUUGGAUCAACAAUUGGAGUAACCAUAUGCCUCAUAUUUCCUGCAGCAUUUUUUAUAUCCAUUAGCAGUAAACAUACUAAUGAAAGAUUAAUGGCACAAAUUAUAUUAUUUAUUGGUGUAUGGAUAAUGAUUCUCGGAACGUACACUAACUUGUAUGCGACGGAAGAAUCUUCAAACGCGAAGCUAAUUAUUACAACAAACAAAUCUCCUAGUCGUCUAAAUAAUGUACCUCUUGGCUUGAUCGACAAAGAAGUACCUCUCAUUCCUGCGAUCGUCAAUCUUGAGGAACCAGAUUUGCUGAAGAAUACCGUUGCUGCGAAAGAUGGUCGAAGAGAACCUCCAAUUCCAGUAGAGAGAGUCGCAGUUACCGAAAAACCUGCUUUGGGAACCGAAAAGUCAGUUAUAGCUGACAUAACUGUAGGUUCUUCUCCGGAACCCAAGGUGGUAGCCGAUGCAGCUGCAGUCGUGGCUGCCAAGAUCUCAGAAAAAAUUGAACUUCCUUCGGAGAAGCUGAAAAAAAAUUCUCCGAAGGAAGACAUGGUCAUUUUGAAGGCGGAGGAGAAGAUCAAGGUGAUAGAGGCUAAGGAACAAGCUAUCGCAUACGUAAAGGGUGAAAACUUGAUACAUUCCGAUGCUAUACAGAAAGAGGAAUCCGAGUUGGCGGCCGAUGGAGAAUUAAAUAAAAUUGAGGUGGAAGAGAGGCACGAAGAGCUUAGGAAAACGCUGGAAAAACACAAAAUCGAACAGUUAGAAAUGAUACAGGAACAGAAGGAGCUAUUAAAAGACCUGAAGGAACAGAAGCAAGAGUUCGAAAAGGAGAAGAAGGAAAGACUGGCCAAAGACGCCGUACAGGGUAAAAGAGAGGUAGUCAAGGUAGUGAAGCCAAAUCCGGAGAAUGUCGUAGAGAAGGCUAAAGUACCUUUGCUAGUCCCUAACGUGGAAAAGGAUAAGUUGGAGACAACCUCCGAUGUAAUCUUUAAGAACAAUUCACCUCCUAUGGAAAGUGAAAAUAUUAAAGUCACGCCGCGCAUGGAUGACCGCCCUAAAAAUAUGAGAAAGUCCGAAAAAGAGGAGCGAGAAUCAUUCUUAAAAGUUAACAUUAAUAACAACGAAAUCGCAAAAGGCGAGAACGAUAAGACUGACAAUAAUUCCGAUACGAAACUGAUCCCUGUGGCAGGGGGUAACGUUUCCGUGAUGAAAGCGCAAGGUCCAAUUUUAGAUGCUCUAUCGCGCAAGAAUACCAUUCCCGAGGCCAAACAAUUUGCUGCUGCAGCUGAAGAAAAUAACAAAGACAGGAUAAUCGUGAGAAACAAGGAACACUUUAAAUUGGGAGAGGAGCGGGAUGUUGCAAUCGGUGACGCAAAAGAAGAGAAGCAGAAAGAUCGAGUCGAGGGUGCCGAAGAUCCCAAACGGACAAAGUACUCUGUACCUAUUGCGCUCAUGAUGCAAAAUCAAACGAAAAGGAACGACAGUGCUGUGAAUGAUAAGAAUAAAAAUCUGGUCGGUAGAGACAUUCUCGAGAACCACGAGAGGGAGAAGAGGGAAUCGAUGCGUGCUGAUAGCGACGUCAAUGUAGAGAAACGUGAAGAAAAAUGUUUGCCGACUGGUCGAAAUGAUUUGAGCUUUGUCGGAGCUAAACAAUUCUUACCUGACGUGGAAAUCAAUUCAGGACUUCCAAGAGUUCUGGUACCAUUCUAUGACAAAAGUGGAGGACUUCCAAAGCGUUCGGACGAUUAAUUUUGUUCGAUUUUAUGGAAAAUCAAAUCGAAACUGUUACGACUGGCAAUUAAGUCUAAAUUUUGGAACUUGGAAUGUAGAGCACUAUCUGAAGAACUUGGACACCUGUACACA
RNAcentral lists this unclassified non-coding RNA (3407 nucleotides) under Orussus abietinus. RNAcentral's name for it is "mini-chromosome maintenance complex-binding protein, transcript variant X10". The record is from RNAcentral. Lineage: Eukaryota; Metazoa; Arthropoda; Insecta; Hymenoptera; Orussidae.